Vulpes vulpes (red fox) is the source of this 93-nucleotide small nuclear RNA. Lineage: Eukaryota; Metazoa; Chordata; Mammalia; Carnivora; Canidae. The record is from Ensembl.
AAGCUCACUUCUCAGCACAUAGACUAAAACAGUAGAGUAGCAUGGCCCCUGGGCAAGGCUGACUUGCAAAUUCGUGAAGUGUUCCGUAUUUUA